RNAcentral lists this ribosomal RNA (471 nucleotides) under uncultured bacterium. RNAcentral describes it as "SSU rRNA". It matches the Rfam family "Bacterial small subunit ribosomal RNA", at positions 26 to 518 of the family's 1533-position model. The record is from RNAcentral.
AGGACGAACGCUGGCGGCGUGCUUAACACAUGCAAGUCGAGCGGUAAGGCUCCUUCGGGAGUACACGAGCGGCGAACGGGUGAGUAACACGUGAGCAAUCUGCCCUUCUCUUCGGAAUAAGCGUUGGAAACGACGUCUAAUGCCGAAUACGACCUCCUUUCGCAUGAUCGGAGGUGGAAAGCUCCGGCGGAGAAGGAUGAGCUCGCAGCCUAUCAGCUAGUUGGUGUGGGUAAUGGCCCACCAAGGCGACGACGGGUAGCCGGCCUGAGAGGGUGACCGGCCACACUGGGACUGAGACACGGCCCAGACUCCUACGGGAGGCAGCAGUGGGGAAUAUUGCACAAUGGGGGAAACCCUGAUGCAGCGACGCCGCGUGCGGGAUGAAGGCCUCGGGUUGUAACCGCUUUCAGCAGGGACGAAAUUGACGGUACCUGCAGAAGAAGCACCGGCUAACUACGUGCCAGCAGCCGC